RNAcentral lists this ribosomal RNA (398 nucleotides) under uncultured bacterium. RNAcentral's name for it is "bacterial SSU rRNA". It matches the Rfam family "Bacterial small subunit ribosomal RNA", at positions 32 to 409 of the family's 1533-position model. The record is from RNAcentral.
AAUCAACGCUGGCGGCGUGCCUCAGACAUGCAAGUCGAACGCGAAAGUUUCCUUCGGGGAACAAGUAGAGUGGCGCACGGGUGAGUAACACGUAGGUAAUCUACCUUUGGAUGGGGAAUAACAACCGGAAACGGUUGCUAAUACCGCAUAAUGCAGCGGCACCUAAUGGUGACAGUUGUUAAAGCGGGGGAUCGAAAGACCUCGCGUCUGAAGAGGAGCCUGCGGCGGAUUAGCAGUUGGUAAGGUAAUGGCUUACCAAGGCUACGAUCCGUAACCGGCCUGAGAGGGGCGGUCGGUCACACUGACACUGACAUACGGGUCAGACUCCUACGGGAGGCAGCAGUCGGGAAUUUUGGGCAAUGGGCGAAAGCCUGACCCAGCAACGCCGCGUGAAGGAU